This is a long non-coding RNA of Esox lucius (northern pike), 807 nucleotides long. Lineage: Eukaryota; Metazoa; Chordata; Actinopteri; Esociformes; Esocidae. The record is from Ensembl.
CUGGAACAUUUCCAUUAGGCUGGGAUCGUUACAAUAUCUUACAAGGUUUUCAGCCAUCUCAAAACGUAUCAAUUACCUACCAAGAAAAUAUACUUUUUUCACAGCUACUAUUUCUAUUCCUUAUUUUGAGAGGAAAAUGUGGAAAGACAGAAGUGAGAAGUUUUUCUGAAAGAGCAAAUACACAUUUAUCACCAAGAUAAACAGCUUUAAACCAUGUUGUCAUGUGGCCUAAGACUUGUGCACAAACACACACAGACACACACAGAAUUGUUCAUAAAUACACAGGCAACCACCCACACAUACCACCUGGUCACCUCAAACAGCAGGGUCAGUAGUGUUUUAGUGUCUGUAACCCAGAUUACACAGUAAUGACUGUAAUGAUUUACUAAACAGACUACAUCUACUGGUUGACAUGUUUAUGAUGUUCUCACUGUCUUCUAUCUACUCUGUAUUACAGAUGACCUCAGGAGGGACUAUGAUGUCCUCAGUAGGGACUAUGGACAACAGAGCUCUGUGCUGGAUGACCUCAGGAAGUAUGGUGAGUAAUAUCUUACAUACAUGUUUGUUUUUAUAUCCAUGUGGGGACUAAAUAAUGAUGACUUAUUUUCCCUGUCCUCUAACCCCAAAAUCAUCCUAACUCUGAUCUCCACCUAGAAUAUUAUGUUACUGUAUGACUCAACUCAAAUUGUACAUUUUACCGUAAACCUAACCUCUUACUGUAUGACUUAACUCCAAUUAGAGGUUUCACUGUAAACCUAACCUCUUACUGUAUGACUUAACUCCAAUUGUACGUUUUACCGUAAACCU